This 294-nucleotide unclassified non-coding RNA is filed under the name Hevea brasiliensis (rubber tree). Lineage: Eukaryota; Viridiplantae; Streptophyta; Magnoliopsida; Malpighiales; Euphorbiaceae. The record is from RNAcentral.
AGCUGCUGUGUCUGCCUUUUUUUUAUUUAUUUUUUACUUUUUAAUUGGAUGGUCUAUUGGGGUCUGGGCUUCUCUCAUUAGGCAAGAGCCCUGUAAACUUUAUAAAGUUGGCUGUCUUCAUUAUAUAGCCAAGUGUGAUGGGCAAUUUUUUUUUCUUUCAUAUAUUGAUGUUUAGACUAGAAACAAACUGCAUCGGAAGUUUAUAUUUGGAAAUUGAAUUUAGCAUGAUCCUUGAUCAUCCUUGAACACAAAUGAUGUGCUUCUGUUUGGUACAGGUGGGAAUUGAAGCAUGGA